GCUCCCGUAGUUAAACUGGAUAUAACGGUGGAUUGCGAUUCCUCUAUUGUGGGUUCGAGUCCCGCCGGGAGCA
RNAcentral lists this transfer RNA (73 nucleotides) under SAR324 cluster bacterium. Its description in RNAcentral is "tRNA-Arg". It matches the Rfam family "tRNA". From Rfam's summary of the family: Transfer RNA (tRNA) molecules are approximately 80 nucleotides in length. Their secondary structure includes four short double-helical elements and three loops (D, anti-codon, and T loops). Further hydrogen bonds mediate the characteristic L-shaped molecular structure. tRNAs have two regions of fundamental functional importance: the anti-codon, which is responsible for specific mRNA codon recognition, and the 3' end, to which the tRNAs corresponding amino acid is attached (by aminoacyl-tRNA synthetases). tRNAs cope with the degeneracy of the genetic code in two manners: having more than one tRNA (with a specific anti-codon) for a particular amino acid; and 'wobble' base-pairing, i.e. permitting non-standard base-pairing at the 3rd anti-codon position. The record is from RNAcentral. Lineage: Bacteria; Deltaproteobacteria.